GAUGAAGAACGUAGCGAAAUGCGAUAAGUAAUGUGAAUUGCAGAAUUCAGUGAAUCAUCGAAUCUUUGAACGCACAUUGCGCCCGCCAGUAUUCUGGCGGGCAUGCCUGUUCGAGCGUCAUUUCAACCAUCAAGCCCCCGGCUUGUGUUGGGGACCUGCGGCUGCCGCAGGCCCUGAAAAGCAGUGGCGGGCUCGCUGUCACACCGAGCGUAGUAGCAUACAUCUCGCUCUGGGCGUGCUGCGGGUUCCGGCCGUUAAACCACCAAUCUAUCAAGGUUGACCUCGGAUCAGGUAGGAAUACCCGCUGAACUUAAGCAUAUCAAUAAGCGGAGGA
This 334-nucleotide unclassified non-coding RNA is filed under the name soil metagenome. RNAcentral describes it as "partial contains 5.8S ribosomal RNA, internal transcribed spacer 2, and large subunit ribosomal RNA". The stretch from base 1 to 120 matches the Rfam family "5.8S ribosomal RNA", at positions 35 to 154 of the family's 154-position model. The record is from RNAcentral.